AAAUUGAAGAGUUUGAUCAUGGCUCAGAUUGAACGCUGGCGGCAGGCCUAACACAUGCAAGUCGAGCGGCAGCGGGAAGUAGUUUACUACUUUGCCGGCGAGCGGCGGACGGGUGAGUAAUGUCUGGGAAACUGCCUGAUGGAGGGGGAUAACUACUGGAAACGGUAGCUAAUACCGCAUAACGUCUUCGGACCAAAGUGGGGGACCUUCGGGCCUCACGCCAUCGGAUGUGCCCAGAUGGGAUUAGCUAGUAGGUGGGGUAAUGGCUCACCUAGGCGACGAUCCCUAGCUGGUCUGAGAGGAUGACCAGCCACACUGGAACUGAGACACGGUCCAGACUCCUACGGGAGGCAGCAGUGGGGAAUAUUGCACAAUGGGCGCAAGCCUGAUGCAGCCAUGC
This 400-nucleotide ribosomal RNA is filed under the name Yersinia enterocolitica subsp. palearctica YE-P1. RNAcentral describes it as "bacterial SSU rRNA". It matches the Rfam family "Bacterial small subunit ribosomal RNA", at positions 1 to 397 of the family's 1533-position model. Lineage: Bacteria; Pseudomonadati; Pseudomonadota; Gammaproteobacteria; Enterobacterales; Yersiniaceae. The record is from RNAcentral.